This 981-nucleotide long non-coding RNA is filed under the name Coffea arabica (coffee). RNAcentral describes it as "long non-coding RNA (CARA_LNC007567)". The record is from RNAcentral. Lineage: Eukaryota; Viridiplantae; Streptophyta; Magnoliopsida; Gentianales; Rubiaceae.
UAUCAGCCCAUAUGAAAUCAAUCAUAAAGAACAGGGUUAUUCGUGACAUUUCAAUAAUUUCUCACCAUCGCAAAAGAAAAGGGCAAGGAUUAUUACACAUUUGAAGAUAGCUAAGGUAAAGCUAGCAAUGGUCUAAAGGAUCACAAACAUUUCUCAUCCAUAAAAGUCUUCGUCAUUAGAAUCCGAAUCUCUGCCUCAUGAACUGCAUCUGCUUAGAAUCUUCACCUGGAAAUUCUGAAUCCUACAACAAUUUGAUCAUAUAUCUUCACCACAAAGCUAGCUGAAGUAUGCUUCCAGCCAGCAAUAUAAAUGGCAAUCCAACAGUGAAGCUCCGGGCAGCCCUCGAAAAAUUAGCAUCAACAGGAUAUAAAUUCCCUGGUGGACCUGUUACAUAUAUGUACUGAGAAGGUGGAGUGGGCACAACGGGCCAGCCUGAUGAACCAGGGGGAGGAGGGCAGGCUGGAGUAGGCGGCUUCUUGGGAGGCGGUGGUGGCGGAGGCAGCGCCGGAGGGGGUGGAGGCAGUGUCGGCGGCGGCGGUGGCGGUGAAGGCACGGGACAUGGAUUGUUGCAAGGACAGCCUCCACACUUGUUUCCUUCAUCAGGGCUCCCUGGAGCCUGUCCAUUAAUUGGAACUGCUAGAGCAAAAAUGACCAAAAUUACUGCCAACCGCAACAUUUUGAUCCUGGCUAGCUAGCCACUGGAAAUUAAACUGACCUUGAUGGGGCUUGAUAAUGUUUUUUAGCUGAUUGGUUUUGAUGACUAAAAUUGAUGGUCGGUGUAGUGAUUGGUGACUAUUCUUGGUGUAGAAAGAAGAAGAAGGUAGAAAGAAAGAAAGAAAAUGAAUGAUGAUGAAGUCUUGAAGAGCGGAUUGCUUACGCUUCUAGGUGCAUGAAAGUCACCAAAGACAGAAAAAUAAAGGUCAUAUGUUUAGUAAUUGGGGUUAGACAUUAAGCAAAUAGGAGUGUGACAUGGACUGUCUC